ACCCUUUAAUGUUUGAUGUUCUAACGUGGACCCGUGAUCCGGGUUGCGGACAGUGUCUGGUGGGUAGUUUGACUGGGGCGGUCUCCUCCUAAAGAGUAACGGAGGAGCACGAAGGUUGGCUAAUCCUGGUCGGACAUCAGGAGGUUAGUGCAAUGGCAUAAGCCAGCUUGACUGCGAGCGUGACGGCGCGAGCAGGUGCGAAAGCAGGUCAUAGUGAUCCGGUGGUUCUGAAUGGAAGGGCCAUCGCUCAACGGAUAAAAGGUACUCCGGGGAUAACAGGCUGAUACCGCCCAAGAGUUCAUAUCGACGGCGGUGUUUGGCACCUCGAUGUCGGCUCAUCACAUCCUGGGGCUGAAGUAGGUCCCAAGGGUAUGGCUGUUCGCCAUUUAAAGUGGUACGCGAGCUGGGUUUAGAACGUCGUGAGACAGUUCGGUCCCUAUCUGCCGUGGGCGCUGGAGAACUGAGGGGGGCUGCUCCUAGUACGAGAGGACCGGAGUGGACGCAUCACUGGUGUUCGGGUUGUCAUGCCAAUGGCACUGCCCGGUAGCUAAAUGCGGAAGAGAUAAGUGCUGAAAGCAUCUAAGCACGAAACUUGCCCCGAGAUGAGUUCUCCCUGAGACUUAAAGUCUCCUGAAGGAACGUUGAAGACGACGACGUUGAUAGGCCGGGUGUGUAAGCGCAGCGAUGCGUUGAGCUAACCGGUACUAAUGAACCGUGAGGCUUAACCUUACAACG
RNAcentral lists this ribosomal RNA (735 nucleotides) under Salmonella enterica subsp. enterica serovar Newport. RNAcentral's name for it is "partial 23S ribosomal RNA". It matches the Rfam family "Bacterial large subunit ribosomal RNA", at positions 2202 to 2925 of the family's 2925-position model. Lineage: Bacteria; Pseudomonadati; Pseudomonadota; Gammaproteobacteria; Enterobacterales; Enterobacteriaceae. The record is from RNAcentral.